UGAGAACUGAAUUUCAUGGACUG
This 23-nucleotide microRNA is filed under the name Sphenodon punctatus (tuatara). Its description in RNAcentral is "Spt-Mir-146-P2_5p (mature (guide))". The record is from RNAcentral. Lineage: Eukaryota; Metazoa; Chordata; Lepidosauria; Sphenodontia; Sphenodontidae. RNAcentral also lists the same sequence under 1 other name.